This 468-nucleotide ribosomal RNA is filed under the name uncultured bacterium. RNAcentral's name for it is "partial 16S ribosomal RNA". It matches the Rfam family "Bacterial small subunit ribosomal RNA", at positions 28 to 507 of the family's 1533-position model. The record is from RNAcentral.
GACGAACGCUGGCGGCGUGCUUAACACAUGCAAGUCGAACGGAAAGGCCCUGCUUUUGUGGGGUGCUCGAGUGGCGAACGGGUGAGUAACACGUGAGUAACCUGCCCUUGACUUUGGGAUAACUUCAGGAAACUGGGGCUAAUACCGGAUAGGGGCUCCUGCUGCAUGGUGGGGGUUGGAAAGUUUCGGCGGUUGGGGAUGGACUCGCGGCUUAUCAGCUUGUUGGUGGGGUAGUGGCUUACCAAGGCUUUGACGGGUAGCCGGCCUGAGAGGGUGACCGGCCACAUUGGGACUGAGAUACGGCCCAGACUCCUACGGGAGGCAGCAGUGGGGAAUAUUGCACAAUGGGCGGAAGCCUGAUGCAGCAACGCCGCGUGCGGGAUGACGGCCUUCGGGUUGUAAACCGCUUUCGCCUGUGACGAGGCGUGAGUGACGGUAAUGGGUAAAGAAGCACCGGCUAACUACGUG